AGAAGGAACGUGACUUCCACGAGGCAGCCGCCGGGCUGGCGGGCCCCACGUUCAGGGUUGUGUCUCGGCUGAAAAAAAGGCACGCCCGAACGCUGGGCAGGGAUUACCCGGCCGGACCCGGGAUUGGAAGGGGGCUCGAAGACGCCUUAGCCCCCCGUGAAGAAAAGGCUUCCCUCCCUCCCAGCUCCAAAUACGGUCCCUGUGAUCUGAGAACAUUACGGCGGGCAUAGAGUCGUCUUUUCUUUAAUGGCCGUGUAGUCGCGGCACAGCCGAGGGUUUCUGGAAUUGCCUUAAACGUAUGCGUUUGAAGAGCGUACCCUUUUGUCGGAGCAGUCACCUUGGAGGGACCACGCAGGCUAUGGCAGCCCGGGUUCAGCAUGUUUAGGGCGAGGGUGUGCUCCAUGGGGACCUGCCUUCUGAUCCGUUUUACCAGGCAUAUAUUUAAAAAAAUGUGUCUUCCUUUCCAAGUAUUCACAUCUUUUUCUACUGACCACAAAUCAGAUUUAAUUCAACUCACAUUUAUUGAACAAGCUAGCCUGUUUUGUUUUUUCACUUUAUUCCUGCAACAGCCACGUGAUAGAGGGAUUACUAUCCACGUUUCACAAACGAUAAAAUUGAGGCUGCCACCUGAUGUUACUGAAGUCCUCCACCCACCUUCUUUCGUUCUUUUUUAAGCGUCUACUAUCGGCUGGGGAUGGAAUAGUUCGCGAGUCAGUUUCUGCCUUCUGAUGGAGGCAGAAAUUUAAACAGCCAACACGGUAAAUACUCCAGAGCUGCAAAACCACGAAGUAUUUUGGGAGUGGAAGCAGGGAGAAGGUGGAGGGCUGACUUUCCGCGCACAGGGUACAGGCGAGAAGAGGUUUCGGUCCCAGAGGUAAAGAGAAAGGGAAGUCCACACUCUGGGUUUAUGGCCUUGAAGUCGAGCAAGCUAUACUAAGAGAACAGAGUAAGUACACCCAGAUACUAUUGUCCCCCUCCUCUUGCCAUUCCUCAAACAUGCCACACCUUGCUCCAGUGGACAAUGGGUACUGGCAUCGUA
This 1039-nucleotide long non-coding RNA is filed under the name Homo sapiens (human). RNAcentral describes it as "non-protein coding lnc-CLDN19-3:3". The record is from RNAcentral. Lineage: Eukaryota; Metazoa; Chordata; Mammalia; Primates; Hominidae.